CGUAUCUCCCUCCUGCUGAGAUGCAGGGUGAACAUACGUAUUUGCCACACAUCAGAUGACAGGAGGUGAGUGCCAGACCUCGGCAGAGGCAGCUGACCAUAGACUGGGGGUGAUGUGUGCUCCUGAAGUGACAAUAAUCUGCUUCUAAAUCUACACCAACACACAAACUACAUUUUGUCUCAAAAAUGUAGAUGAACAAAUACAGAUGUUUCCUGAAGAAAUGAAACACAGAAUAAAAUUAUCUUUAUAUUUAACCCAGGAAGCAAACUGCAUCCCAAGGCUGGCCUGUUUAUCCUGUGUGUUAGUUUUCUUCCUACUUGACUUACUAGCAACUCAAAUACUGUUGAUUGAUUGUUUACUUGUUUACUGUCUGUGCUCCCUCCCCACCCCCACGUGAACUACGAGAGCAAGGACUGUCGUCAUCGGCCGGUAUGUGCCCUGGUGGCCGGGGAGCACAGAACAGAUCCGCUGAACGAACUAAAGAACGUGACAGCGGAAGUGAGAGACACCGUAGUAUGGCUGUGUCUUUCUUUGACUCAGGCUCAGAGGGGACGUAAGAUGACUACAGAUCUGAACUGGGUGUUUUUUCUUGGUGAUCACAAUUCAAAAUAGCAACCGGCACUGGAGACUUGGAGGCUCCUCGGAGAGGGAGCAGCGUCCAUCACUGAGGUGCUGUGAACCAGCCUCUGUCUCAUAAACUCCUCUGAGGACCAGCUGUGCAUCCUACACAAAACACUGACAACCCAAUGUCCUACAAGUUAUCUCCAAAGGGUUGGUGAUAUACAAGAUACCUGCCCUGAAGGUGGAGGGAGCACCUGGCACCGAUGGGGACAGCAUGAAGAACUACUUCUCCCCUGCAUCUCUGACUGCUAAAAGUUGUGGACGGGUCCCCUUAAACUGACUUGCUUUGAAAUGAACAUUUAAUUACUUACUAACCACCCUCCACCCGGCCCCCCAAAACCCAAGACGAAGCAAAGCAACAGACAGUGGUCAAUUCAACAUCUACGCCAUUGCUAUCAGACCAGUGUCGUCUGCUUUAGGGGUAAGCAACGGAAACAGACGUAGCUUGUAGGGCUUGUUUCAAAGAGUCUGGACACGUGCUUAGAAAUACCUCCUAACAAUAAAGAUGAUCUUGAAGUGGCUCCGCAGGUCUGCGACAGGUGGGAGCAUUUAAGAUAAAGGGCCAAGGACCAGAAGGUGCAGGCAAGGAGUUCCCGGGGCCUUUAGGAACUCAGGCAAGUAUCCAGAAGUGAAGCUGUUUCCGUGGUCUAGGAAAUGAAGGAAUGGGAUAUAUUUGGAAUUUGGAAGGCAGUUUGAAAAGAAACAAUUGCUGGAUUUGGCAGAAGAUUAAGUAAAAGGCAAUACUAUGUGUUGGGCACAGGGCCUUGGCGUGCUUUCCGUAAUCACAUUUAAUCCUCCCAAUAACCUCGGAGAAAGACGUGUUUGUAUCUAUUUUACAAGACAGAAGACAGACGCUUAGAAAUCGGCCCUAUCCAUGGCCAACUGUUGAGUGGGAGUGCCAGCAUUCAAACCUGGGGCGAACGAACCACGGAUUAUUUUUGAUGUUGCUCCUGUGAAACUGUGGUCCACUGGUGACAAAGAAGCAUAAGGAAAGAUCACCAAAAAAAAAAAAAAAAAAAGAGGAACAACUUUAUCUUUUCUAAUUCAGUUGGUGAAAGAGAAAUUCAAUUUAUGAUGCAUGUAAAUAUCAGGUUUGGGGAGGGGCAAGUUUACUAGAUUAAAAAAAAAUCUGUGUAUAUACAGUUCAGUGCUGUCCAACAGCAAUAAAAAGCGAGACACAUCUGUGAUUUUGCGUUUUCUGGUAACCACGUUGAAAAAGGUAAAAAGAAGCAGGUGAAAUUAAUUUUCGUUUUUCUUAUUUAACUCAAUAUAUUAUCAUUUAUCAUUUAUUUAACUCAGGAUAUUAUCAUUUAUAUAACUCAAUAUAUUAUCAUAUCAUCACUCCAACAUGAAAUCGAUAUGAAAAAUUUUUGAGAUAUUUCCUGUUCUGGGGGUACUGAGUCUUUAAAAUCCAGUGUGUAUUUUACACUUGGAGGACAUUUCAGUUUGGACCAGCCACAUGUCGGUCAAGUGCUCAAAGCUGCAUGUGGCUAGUGGUUCCCAUACGAGACGGUACAGACACCAGGAGUCCUGAUUCAAUGCUGAGACGCCAGGAACGUGAUGCAGGUCUUGCGGGUGGAUAGCGAGGAACAAAAGGGGGCCUUUUGGGGG
Vicugna pacos (alpaca) is the source of this 2232-nucleotide non-coding RNA. NCBI's taxonomy places the organism in Eukaryota, Metazoa, Chordata, Mammalia, Artiodactyla, Camelidae. The record is from RefSeq and is a predicted model, not a curated record.